CACUCGUCGCUCGCCUCGCGCCGUCGCCCUUGUCUCACACAGCCUCGUGCAGUCGCCGCCCCCGCCUCGUGCAGCCACCGCCACCACCUUGCGCAGCCUCACGCCGUCCUCUCUGCUCACCCGGACAAGCGGGACAAGGGCACCGUUCAAGGAGAGGACAGGGGCGAUCGCGGUGAACCCUCCGUUCAUGGUACUGUAACGUCCAAGAUGUGGCACUAUCCAUAUUUGGGGAUUAGGUCUUAAUAUGGAUAGAGGCACAUCUUAGCGUUUCGCAAGUACAUAAAUCACCGCAAUACAUUUAUGAAGAGAAGAGUAUAUUGAUUAGCUUACACUCGCCACAAGUUAAGUUACAAGCCACACAACAUUAGUUCAAUCAUCCUAAGACCGGGUCCGGCUACAGACAAGAUAAAUGAUAAAAUGCAAUGACUCUGCCUCGUUAGUCUAGGAAACGAGCAAGGUCCUCUAAUCAUCGGGGUACAUUACGUACAAGCGCCCACUGCCUUCAUCGAAAUCCCAUUGAAGAUCGAUAACCCACAAGUAUAGGGGAUCGCAACAGUUUUCGAGGGUAGAGUAUUCAACCCAAAUUUAUUGAUUCAACUCAAGGGGAAGCGAAAGAAUAUUCUCAAGUAUUAGCAGUUGAGCUGUCAAUUCAACGACACCUAAAAGAUUUAGUAUCAGUAGCAAAGUAGGGUGAUAGCAGCAGUAGCAACAGUAACCAGUAGCAGCAAAGUAACAACAGUAGGAACAGAGUAACAACAGCAGCAGUCACAGCAGUAGCGGCAAAGUAACGUAGCAAGGACCAGUAGAAAAAGACUCGUAGGCAUUGGAUCAGUGAUGGAUGAUUAUGCCGGAUGUGAUUGAUCAUGCAACAGUUAUAACACGGAGAGAUAAGUAAAUAGCUCCAGUUCGUCAAUCUAAUGUAGGCAUGUAUUCCGCAUGUAGUCAUACGUGCUUAGGGAAAAUAACUUGCAUGACAUCUAUUGUCCAUCCCUCCCAUGGCAGCGGGGUCCUAAUGGAAACUACAGGAUAUUAAGGUUCUCCUUUGAAUAAAGAACCGGACCAAUGCAUUAACACUUGGUGAAUACAUGAACUCCUCAUACUAUGGUCAUCUCCGGGAGUGGUUCCGGCUAUUGUCACUCCGGGGUUGCAGGGUCAUAACACAUAGUAGGUGACUACAACUUGCAAGAUAGGAUCUAAAACACACAUAUAUUGGCGACAACAUAAUAGGUUCAGAUCUGAAAUCAUGGCACUCGAGCCCUAGUGACAAGCAUUAAGCAUGGCAAAGUAGUAGCAACAUCAAUCUCAGAACAUAGUGGAUACUAGGGAUCAAUUCCCGUCAAAACUAACUCGAUUACAUGAUAGAUCUCAUCCAACCCAUCACCGUCUAGAAAGCCUACGAAUAGAUUACUCACGAACGGUGAAGAGCAUCAUGGAAUUGGCGAUGAAGGAAGGUUGGUGAUGACGAUGGCGUCAAAGUUUGUUUUCUUGUGCUAAUGAUAUCACGAGUUUCUGUUUAAGUUUUGUGUUGUGAAGUUUUCAAGUUUUGGGUGAUGAUCUCAUGGACAAAGGGAUAAAGAGUGGAAAGAGCUCAAGCUUGGGGAUGCCCAAGGCAUCCCAAGCCAAAUUCAAGGACACCAAAAAGCCUAAGCUGGGGGAUGCCCCGGGAAGACAUCCCCUCUUUCGUCUCCAAUCCAUCGGUAAUAUUACUUGGAGCUAUAUUUUUAUUCACCACAUGAUAUGUGUUUUGCUUGGAGCGUCUUGUAUCAUAGGAGUCCUUUAUUUUUGUUGUGUCACAAUCAUCCUUGCUGCACACCUUUUGAGAGAGACAUGCACUCAUCGUGAAUUUUCUAGAAUACUCAUUGAGCUUCGCUUAUAUCUUUUGAGUUAGGCAAUUUAGCUCAUUGUGCUUCACUUAUAUCUUUUGAUCUAGAUAACUUUUCUCUUUGUGCUUCACUUAGAUCUUUUAGAGCACGGCGGUGUCAUAUUUUGGAGAAAUAAGAACUCUCGAUCUUCACUUAUAUCUUUUUGAGAGUGCUCUCUCUGAGUAACUUGGUAGUUGGCUUGUGUUAUGAAAGUAGUCCGAAAGAUGAUAGGCGCCCAAAGAGGAUACAAUAAAACUUCCAUAUUCAUGUGCAUUGAUUAGAAAGAGAAGUUUGAUUCCUCUCAAAUAGUUUUGAGACAUGGAUUUGGUAAUAUUAAGAGUUAUGCUAGUAGGGUGUUGUGAAUCUAGAAAUACUUGUGUUGAAGUUAGUGAUUCCCGUAACAUGCACGUAUGGUGGACCGCUAUGUUAGGAAGUCGGAGCAUAUUUGAUUUAUUGAUUGUCAUCCUUUGUGUUGCGGUCGGGAUUGCGCGAUGGUUAACACCUACCAACCCUUCCCCUAGGAGUAUGCGUUUAGCACUUUGUUUCGAUUACUAAUAAAAACUUUCGCAAUAAGUAUGUGAGUUCUUCAUGACUAAUGUGAGUCCAUGGUAUAGAUACACUUUCACCUUCCACCAUUGCUAGCCUCUCUAGUGCCGUGCAACUUUCGUCGGUACACAAAACCACAAUAUGCCUUCCUCAAAACAACCACCAUACCUACCUACUAUGGCAUUUUCAUAGCCAUUCCGAGAUAUAUUGCCAUGCAACUCCCACCGUUCGGUCUCAUGACUUGUGUCGUNNNNNNNNNNNNNNNNNNNNNNNNNNNNNNNNNNNNNNNNNNNNNNNNNNNNNNNNNNNNNNNNNNNNNNNNNNNNNNNNNNNNNNNNNNNNNNNNNNNNGUGAUCUCAUCCGGGACUCCGAACAACAUUCGGUAACCAACCAUAUAACUCAAAUACGCAUAAAACAACGUCGAACCUUAAGUGUGCAGACCCUGCGGGUUCGAGAACUAUGUAGACAUGACCCGAGUGACUCCUCGGUCAAUAUCCAAUAGCGGGACCUGGAUGCCCAUAUUGGAUCCUACAUAUUCUACGAAGAUCUUAUCGUUUGAACUUCAGUGCCAAGGAUUCAUAUAAUCCCGUAUGUCAUUCCCUUUGUCCUUCGGUAUGUUACUUGCCCGAGAUUCGAUCGUCAGUAUCCGCAUACCUAUUUCAAUCUCGUUUANCCGGCAAGUCUCUUUACUCAUUCCGUAAUACAAGAUCCCGCAACUUACACUAAGUCACAUUGCUUGCAAGGCUUGUGUGUGAUGUUGUAUUACCGAGUGGGCCCCGAGAUGCCUCUCCGUCACACGGAGUGACAAAUUCCAGUCUCGAUCCAUACUAACUCAACGAACACCUUCGAAGAUACCUGUAGAGCAUCUUUAUAGUCACCCAGUUACGUUGCGACGUUUGAUACACACAAAGCAUUCCUCNNNNNNNNNNNNNNNNNNNNNNNNNNNNNNNNNNNNNNNNNNNNNNNNNNNNNNNNNNNNNNNNNNNNNNNNNNNNNNNNNNNNNNNNNNNNNNNNNNNNACGGUGCCCUAUUUAAAGUGAAUGCUGCAGUUUCUAAUGCGUAUCCCCAAAAUGAUAGCGGUAAGUCGGUAAGAGACAUCAUAGAUCGUACCAUAUCUAAUAAAGUGCGAUUAUGACAUUCACACACCCCAUUACGUUGCGGUGUGCCAAGCGGCGUCAGUUGUGAAACGAUUCCACACUUCCUUAGGUGUGUGCCAAACUCGUGACUCAAAUAUUCUCCUCCACAAUCAGAUCGUAGACAUUUAAUUUUUUCUGUCACGUUGAUUCUCAACCUCACUCUGAAAUUCCUUGAACUUUUCAAACGUCUCAGAUUUGUGCUUCAUCAAGUAGAUAUACCCAUACCUACUCAAAUCAUCGGUGAGAGUGAGAACAUAACGAUAACCACCGCGAGCUUCAACGUUCAUUGGACCACACACAUCAGUAUGUAUUAUUUCCAAUAAGUCGGUUGCUCUCUCCAUUAUUCCUGAGAAUGGAGUCUUAGUCAUCUUGCCCAUGAGGCACAGUUCGCAUGUGUAAAAUGAUUCAAAGUCAAGAGACUCUAAUAGUCCAUCAAUAUGGAGCUUCUUCAUGCGCUUAACGCCGAUAUGACCAAGGCGGCAGUGCCACAAGUAUGUGGGACUGUCAUUAUCAACUUUACAUCUUUUGGUACUCACACUAUGAAUAUGUGUAACAUCACGAUCGAGAUUCAUCAAGAAUAAACCAUUCANNNNNNNNNNNNNNNNNNNNNNNNNNNNNNNNNNNNNNNNNNNNNNNNNNNNNNNNNNNNNNNNNNNNNNNNNNNNNNNNNNNNNNNNNNNNNNNNNNNNAGGUUGACUCGACGAGCUUAGCAUGUACAGACAUGACCUCGAAUACAAGAGACCGAAAGGUCGAACAUGAGUCGUAUGGUUGAAUACGAUCAGCAUGAAGUUGCUCACCAUGGUGACUAGUCCGUCUCACGUGAUGAUCGGACACGGGUUAGUCAACAUGGAUCAUGUAUCACUUAGAUGACUAGAGGGAUGUCGAUUUAAGUGGGAGUUCAUACUUAAUUUGAUUAAAUGAAAUUAAUUGUCAUGAACUUAGUCUAAAAGUUGUCUUUAUAAAUAUUGUAGAUGUCCAACGUCAACCUCAAUUUCAACGCAUUCCUAGAGAAAAACAAGCUGAAAGAUGAUGGUAGCAACUAUGCGGACUGGGUUUGCAACUUGAAGCUCAUCCUCGAAGCAGCUAAAAAGGCUUAUGUCCUUAAUGCGCCGCUAGGUGACCCUCCCGCUCCCGCAGCAGCCCAGGACAUUCUGAACGUCUGGCAAACGCGGAGUGAUGACUACUCUCUGGUCAGGUGUGGCAUGUUAUACAGUUUAGAAACGGGGCUCCAAAGGCGUUUUGAGCAACAUGGGGCAUAUGAGAUGUUCCAGGAGCUACAGCUAGUUUUUCAAGCUCAUGCCCGUGUCGAGAGAUAUGAAGUCUCCGACAAGUUCUUCAGCUGUAAGAUGGAGGAGAACAGUUCUGUCAGUGAGCACAUACUCAAAAUGUCUGGGUUACACGGUCGUCUGACUUCACUUGGAGUCGAACUUCCGGAUGAUGCUAUUAUUGACAGAAUCCUCCAGUCUCUCCCACCAAGCUACAAAGGCUUUGUGCUUAACUACAAUAUGCAAGGGAUGGAGAAGACCAUUCCCGAGUUGUACUCGCUGCUCAACUCUGCAGAAGUAGAAAUCAAGAAAGAGCAUCAAGUCUUGAUGGUCAACAAGACCACUAGUUUCAAGAAAGGCAAGGGUAAGAAGAACUUCAAGAAAGACGGCCAAGCUGUUGCCGCGCCCGGUAAGCCAGAUGCCGGGAAGAAGAAAAAGAACGGACCCAAGCCUGAGACUGAGUGCUUCUAUUGCAAGGGAAAGGGUCACUNNNNNNNNNNNNNNNNNNNNNNNNNNNNNNNNNNNNNNNNNNNNNNNNNNNNNNNNNNNNNNNNNNNNNNNNNNNNNNNNNNNNNNNNNNNNNNNNNNNNUCUCUCCUACUCUAGUCGGAUUGGAUUUGAUGAAAAGGGUCCUUAUGAAGGGUAAAUAGCUUUGGCAUAUAAUCGUUGUGGCUGUCACGUAGGUAAGAAGGCGUUCUUGCUAGAAACCCAAAUCAGCCACGUAAAACUUGCAACAACAAUUAGAGGACGUCUAACUUGUUUUUGCAGGGUUUGACAUGUGAUGUGAUAUGGCCAAAGUUGUGAUGUUGCAUGUAUAAUGUAUGAGAUGAUCAUGUUAUUGUAAUAGGUUUCACGACUUGCAUGUCGAUGAGUAUGACAACCGGCAGGAGCCAUAGGAGUUGUCUUAAUUUAUUGUAUGAGAUGCAACGCCAUGUGCUUACUACUUUUACUUCAUUGCUAACAGUUAGCUAUAGUAGUAGUGAUAGUAGUAGUUGGCGUGACGACAUCACAGAGACACGAUGAUGGAGAUCAUGAUGAUGGAGAUCAUGGUGUCACGCUGGUGACGAUGAUGAUCAUGCGAUGCCUGAAGAUGGAGAUCGAAAGAGCAAAGAUGAUAAUGGCCAUAUCAUGUCACUAUAUGAUUGCAUUGUGAUGUUUAUCAUGUUUUACAUCUUAUUGCUUAAAACGACGGUAGCAUAAUAAGAUGAUCCCUCUUAAAAUUUCAAGAACGUAUUCCCCUAAGUGUGCACCGUUGCGAAGGUUCAUUGUCUCGAAGCACCACGUGAUGAUCGGGUGUGAUAGAUUCUAACAUUCGCAUACAACCGGUGUAAGCCAGAUUUACACACGCGAAACACCUAGGUUGACUCGACGAGCUUAGCAUGUACAGACAUGACCUCGAAUACAAGAGACCGAAAGGUCGAACAUGACUCGUAUGGUUGAAUACGAUCAGCAUGCAGUUGCUCACCAUGGUGACUAGUCCGUCUCACGUGAUGAUCGGACACGGGUUAGUCAACAUGGAUCAUGUAUCACUUAGAUGACUAGAGGGAUGUCGAUUUAAGUGGGAGUUCAUACUUAAUUUGAUUAAAUGAAAUUAAUUGUCAUGAACUUAGUCUAAAAGUUGUCUUUAUAAAUAUUGUAGAUGUCCAACGUCAACCUCAAUUUCAACGCAUUCCUAGAGAAAAACAAGCUGAAAGAUGAUGGUAGCAACUAUGCGGACUGGGUUNNNNNNNNNNNNNNNNNNNNNNNNNNNNNNNNNNNNNNNNNNNNNNNNNNNNNNNNNNNNNNNNNNNNNNNNNNNNNNNNNNNNNNNNNNNNNNNNNNNNAAUACCCAGGAGCUACUACGAGCGCUGGUAAGGUACACAUCAAUAACAUGUAUAUCACAUAUACCUUUAACGUUGCCGGCCUUCUUGUCCGCUAAGUAUUUGGGGCAGUUCCGCUUCCAGUGACCCUUUCCCUUGCAAUAGAAGCACUCAGUCUCAGGCUUGGGUCCGUUCUUUUUCUUCUUCCCGGCAUCUGGCUUACCGGGCGCGGCAACAGCUUGGCCGUCUUUCUUGAAGUUCUUCUUACCCUUGCCUUUCUUGAAACUAGUGGUCUUGUUGACCAUCAAAACUUGAUGCUCUUUCUUGAUUUCUACUUCUGCAGAAUUGAGCACCGAGUACAACUCGGGAAUGGUCUUCUCCAUCCCUUGCAUGUUGUAGUUAAGCACAAAGCCUUUGUAGCUUGGUGGGAGAGACUGGAGGAUUCUGUCAAUUAUAGCAUCAUCCGGAAGUUCGACUCCAAGUGAAGUCAGACGACCGUGUAACCCAGACAUUUUGAGUAUGUGCUCACUGACAGAACUGUUCUCUUCCAUCUUACAGCUAAAGAACUUGUCGGAGACUUCAUAUCUCUCGGCACGGGCAUGAGCUUGAAAAACUAGCUUCAUCUCCUGGAACAUCUCAUAUGCCUCAUGUUGCUCAAAACGCCUUUGGAGCCCCGUUUCUAAACUGUAUAACAUGCUACACCUAACCAGAGAGUAGUCAUCACUCCGCGUUUUCCAGACGUUCAGAAUGUCCUGGGCUGCUGCGGGAGCGGGAGGGUCACCUAGCGGCGCAUCAAGGACAUAAGCCUUUUUAGCUGCUUCAAGGACGAGCUUCAAGUUGCGAACCCAGUCCGCAUAGUUGCUACCAUCAUCUUUCAGCUUGUUUUUCUCUAGGAAUGCGUUGAAAUUGAGGUUGACGUUGGACAUCUACAAUAUUUAUAAAGACAACUUUUAGACUAAGUUCAUGACAAUUAAGUUCAUUUAAUCAAAUUAAAUAUGAACUCCCACUUAAAUCGACAUCCCUCUAGUCAUCUAAGUGAUACAUGAUCCAUGUUGACUAACCCGUGUCCGAUCAUCACGUGAGACGGACUAGUCACCAUGGUGAGCAACUCCAUGCUGAUCGUAUUCAACCAUACGAAUCAUGUUCGACCUUUCGGUCUCUUGUAUUCGAGGUCAUGUCUGUACAUGCUAAGCUCGUCGAGUCAACCUNNNNNNNNNNNNNNNNNNNNNNNNNNNNNNNNNNNNNNNNNNNNNNNNNNNNNNNNNNNNNNNNNNNNNNNNNNNNNNNNNNNNNNNNNNNNNNNNNNNNGCGGAGACUGGCCAAGGACGAGGUGACGAUGCGCGUCGGGAAUGGUUCAAAGGUCGAUGUGAUCGCCGUCAGCACGCUGCCUCUACAUCUACCGUCGGGAUUAGUUUUAAACCUUAAUAAUUGUUAUUUAGUACCAGCUUUAAGCAUGAACAUUGUAUCAGGGUCUUGCUUAAUGCGAGACGGCUACUCAUUUAAGUCAGAGAAUAAUGGUUGUUCUAUUUAUAUGAGUGAUAUGUUUUAUGGUCAUGCUCCGCUGGUGAAUGGUUUAUUCUUGAUGAAUCUCGAUCGUGAUGUUACACAUAUUCAUAGUGUGAGUACCAAAAGAUGCAAAGUUGAUAAUGAUACUCCCACAUACUUGUGGCACUGCCGCCUUGGUCAUAUCGGCGUUAAGCGCAUGAAGAAGCUCCAUACUGAUGGACUAUUAGAGUCUCUUGACUUUGAAUCAUUUGACACAUGCGAACCGUGCCUCAUGGGCAAGAUGACUAAGACUCCAUUCUCAGGAAUAAUGGAGAGAGCAACCGACUUAUUGGAAAUAAUACAUAUUGAUGUGUGUGGUCCAAUGAACGUUGAAGCUCGCGGUGGUUAUCGUUAUGUUCUCACUCUCACCGAUGAUUUGAGUAGGUAUGGGUAUAUCUACUUGAUGAAGCACAAAUCUGAGACGUUUGAAAAGUUCAAGGAAUUUCAGAGUGAGGUUGAGAAUCAACGUGACAGAAAAAUUAAAUGUCUACGAUCUGAUCGUGGAGGAGAAUAUUUGAGUCACGAGUUUGGCACACACCUAAGGAAGUGUGGAAUCGUUUCACAACUGACGCCGCCUGGCACACCGCAGCGCAACGGAGUGUCUGAACGUCGUAAUCGCACUUUAUUAGAUAUGGUACGAUCUAUGAUGUCUCUCACCGACUUACCGCUAUCAUUUUGGGGAUACGCAUUAGAAACUGCAGCAUUCACUUUAAAUAGGGCACCGUCUAAAUCCGUUGAGACGACACCGUAUGAACUAUGGUUUGGCAAGAAACCUAAGUUGUCGUUUCUUAAAGUUUGGGGCUGCGAUGCUUAUGUGAAGAAACUUCAACUAGAAAAGCUCCAACCCAAAGAGGAGAAAUGCGUAUUCAUAGGAUACCCUAAGGAAACUAUUGGGUAUACCUUCUAUCUUAGAUCCGAAGGUAAAACCUUUGUUGCCAAGAACGGAUCCUUUCUAGAGAAAGAGUUUCUCUCGAAAGAAGUAAGUGGGAGGAAGGUAAAACUUGAUGAGGUAAUUGCACCCCCUCUCGAACAGGAAAGUAGCGCAGCGCGGGAAGUUGUUCCUGUGGCGCCUAUACCGAAUGAAGAGGAAGUUAAUGAUGAUGAUCAUGAAGCUUCGGAUCAAGUUACUACUGAACCGCGAAGGUCCACAAGGGCACGCUCCGCACCAGAGUGGUACGGCAACCCUGUGAUGGAAAUCAUGUUGUUAGACAAUGGUGAGCCUUCGAACUAUGAAGAAGCAAUGGCGGGCCCGGAUUCCAACAAAUGGCUUGAGGCUAUGAAAUCCGAGAUAGGAUCCAUGUAUGAGAACAAAGUAUGGACUUUGGUGGACUUGCCCGAUGACCGGCGAGCCAUAGAAAAUAAAUGGAUCUUCAAGAAGAAGACUGAUGCAAACGGUAAUGUAACCGUUUACAAAGCUCGACUUGUCGCAAAGGGUUUUCGACAAAUUCAAGGAGUUGACUACGAAGAGGCUUUCUCUCCCGUAGCGAAGCUGAAAUCAGUUCGAAUCAUGUUAGCAAUUGCCGCCUUUUAUGAUUAUGAAAUUUGGGAAAUGGACGUCAAAACAGCGUUCCUUAACGGGAACCUUAAGGAAGAGUUGUAUAUGAUGCAACCAGAAGGUUUUGUCGACCCUAAGGGUGCUAACAAAGUGUGCAAGCUCCAGCGCUCCAUCUAUGGGCUGGUGCAAGCAUCUCGGAGUUGGAACAUUCGCUUUAAUGAGGUAAUUAAAGCGUUUGGGUUCAUACAGGUUUACGGAGAAACCUGUCUGUACAAGAAAGUGAGUGGGAGCUCUGUAGCUUUCCUCAUACUAUAUGUGGAUGACAUAUUAUUGAUGGGGAAUAAUAUAGAGAUGUUGGAGAGCAUAAAGGCCUAUUUGAACAAGAGUUUUUCAAUGAAGGACCUUGGAGAAGCUGCAUACAUAUUAGGCAUCAAGAUCUAUAGAGAUAGAUCGAGACGCCUCAUAGGUCUUUCGUAAAGUACAUACCUUGACAAGAUAUUGAAGAAGUUCAAUAUGGAAAACUCAAAGAAAGGGUCAUUGCCAGUUUUGCAAGGUAUGAGAUUGAGUAAGACUCAGUCGCCGACCACGGCAGUAGAUAGAGAGAAGAUGAGUUAUGUCCCCUACGCUUCAGCCGUGGGCUCUCUAAUGUAUGCCAUGUUGUGUACCAGACCUGAUAUAAACCUUGCCAUAAGUUUGGUAGGGAGGUACCAAAGUAAUCCCGGUACGGAACACUCGACAGCGGUCAAGAAUAUCCUUAAGUACCUGAAAAGGACUAAGGAAAUAUUUCUCGUUUAUGGAGGUGACGAAGAGCUCGUCGUAAAGGGUUACGUCGACGCUAGCUUCGACAUAGAUCCGGAUGACUCUAAGUCACAGACCGGAUACGUAUAUGUGUUGAAUGGUGGGGCAGUGAGCUGGUGCAACAGCAAGCAAGAAGUCGUGGCAGCAUCUACAUGUGAAGCGGAGUACAUAGCUGCUUCAGAAGCGGCUCAUGAAGGAAUUUGGAUGAAGGAGCUCAUCACUGACCUUGGAGUGGUUCCAAGCGCGUCGGGUCCCAUGACACUCUUCUGUGAUAACACUGGAGCCAUUGCCAUAGCCAAGGAGCCCAGGUUUCACUGAAAGACGAAGCACAUCAAGCGCCGCUACAACUCCAUCCAGGACCAUGUCCAGAGUGGAGUGAUAGAUAUUUGUAAAGUACACACGGAUCUGAAUAUUGCAGACCCGUUGACUAAACCUCUUCCACGAGCAAAACAUGAUCAACACCAUAAUGCUAUGGGUGUUCGAUACAUCACAAUGUAACUAGAUUAUUGACUCUAGUGCAAGUGGGAGACUGUUGGAAAUAUGCCCUAGAGGCAAUAAUAAAAUGGUUAUUAUCAUAUUUCCUCGUUCAUGAUAAUCGUCUAUUGUUCAUGCUAUAAUUGUAUUAACAGGAAACAGUAAUACAUGUGUGAAUAAAUAGAUCACAAUGUGUCCCUAGGAAGCCUCUAGUUGGCUAGCUCGUUAGUCAAUAGAUGAUCAUGGUUUCCUGAUCAUGGGCAUUAGAUGUCAUUGAUAACGGGAUCACAUCAGUGGGAGAAUGAUGUGAUGGACAAGACCCAAUCCUAAGCCUAGCACUAGAUCGUAUUGUUCGUAUGCUAAUGCUUUUCUAAUGUCAAGUAUCUUUUCCUUCGACCGUGAGAUUGUGCAACUCCCAGAUGCCGUAGGAGUGCUUUGGGUGUAUCAAACGUCACAACGUAACUGGGUGACUAUAAAGGUGCACUACGGGUAGGGGGGGGGGGGGGGGUUGGGUUGGUACGAAUCGAGAUCGGGAUUUGUCACUCCGUGUGACGGAGAGGUAUCUCUGGGCCCACUCGGUAGAACAUCAUCAUGAGCUCAAUGUGACUAAGGAGUUAGUCACACGAUGAUGUGCUACGGAACGAGUAAAGAGACUUACCGGUAACGAGAUUGAACAAGGUAUAGGUAUACCGACGAUCGAAUCUCGGGCAAGUUCUAUACCGACAGACANNNNNNNNNNNNNNNNNNNNNNNNNNNNNNNNNNNNNNNNNNNNNNNNNNNNNNNNNNNNNNNNNNNNNNNNNNNNNNNNNNNNNNNNNNNNNNNNNNNNGGGGGGGGGGGAGGGUGUUAGAUUUGUAUUGCCCCUUUUUUGUAUAUCCCCAUUAUAUAAGGGGUUUCUACCACUUUUACCAUAUGUAUAUAUAUUGGCCUUUGGCCCCUGUGAAUAUUUGCUCAUUAUCUAACAGAUCCAACACAAGGUUGGGUCGAAGCUAGUUUAUAUCUGGGACGUUACACCAACCUCUCAAGCCAAUCCAACAUUGCAGACAGAUUUAUGAUACACUUCCUUUUCACGAGCCCGAGGCAAUGUACCUAUGUCAAAAAAAGUAGGAGUUCGAGGCAAUGUACCUAAUACAAACUGUGAAGCCUUCCCACCUAGGCUAUACAUGAGGUCCUUGAGAUGCUCUAUAAGAUAUCGGUUAAAAGAGAAAACGUCCAAAAUAAGAGAAAUAUAACUAUAUUUUUUUUGUAUUUGUCGCUUCAAAGGAUCAGUAUGUUGGACAAGAAGAGAAGCACUGAAGUAGCAUCACUCAUCAUCAAGGUCAAAAUCGUUGUCCGAUGCGCACUCGAGAUAUGAACCAAUCGACUUGCGGAAGAUGAUGAAAGACUUGUCAUCCUGUGAAAAAAGAAUGCAUUAUUUUGCAGGAAGAGGUGUUUCAAGCCAUGGAACAAAAAAAACUGGCUGGUCAUUCAGCUUUAGGCCUGACGGGUAGCUAAAAAUGAAGUCUAAGAAAUGCAAGCAGUUGUGAAUUUUGCCACACCUGCUUCAUCCUUUUCAGUGAUGGUUUGGCAUUUGUUAUCUUAUCUGAUAAGGUGUCACCAUGUUCUGACAAUGUAGCCGUCUCCUCCCCUGUUUGAAGGAUUUGAGUGUAAGAGCAGCAUAUUUCCAUCCAAGGGAAAUAAUGAAUCCUCUAGCUACUUACUUUGAUAUUCAUACUGCUCAAGCAGUUUCUUUUUCUCAACUUCAAUUUGUGAGGAUAGAUCUGCAUAAUAGGACAUGUAACAAGUCAAAUAAGAGCCAAAUAUUUUUGCAGAUUCAAUGAGAUCUGAACGUCUUUUAUGGGAACAUCAUCCAAAUAAUGCUGAGUCGCUAAUAAGCAGUAGCCAAGCAAUGCAUAUUUAGAAACAACACACAUAAUUUGAAUACAAGUGUCAUGUAGAUUCUAUUUGCAUCAAAACCAGGUAUCUCAAUAUUUUUUCUAAAGAUAAGAAUCACAGCUCAUACGUAGUAGCCGAUUACACCAAAUGAGAAACAACCAUCACACGUCACAAUGCCCUAAAAUCCUAGAUAGACCUGGAUAGAAGCACAUGAUAUACUUGUGAAAAUGACAACCAGCUCUUAUUUGACAUACCUUUGAAGGUUUGUAAGUGUGCAUCAUUUUCUUCGCAGAACAUUUCAUAUGUUUCCUGAAGCUUGGUGUACUCUUCGUUCAAUGAACUUUCACACUGCUAAUAGUGCAAAUUACACGCCAUAAUUCAAUCUUAGGCAAAUCAGCAAGUAAGUCGACAAUUCCAAAGAAUUGUAAACUGUGUACCUCUUUCGAAGUGCUUGACAGUACUUUCAGCAAAUUCUGCCUGCACAUGCAAAUAUAACAGUGACACUACGUUCUAAAUAAAAACGAACAAGCUUCCUUUUCUGACAGAACUGGUUUCAGGCGUAAUUGUUCAUGCAGGCAUCGUUUCACAGUUCACAAGCAAGUGAGUUACCUUUCCUUCUCAAACUUGGACUUGGUAUCUUCAAGCAUAGUCUGAAUAUUGGCUGCAACACUGUCAGGUUUAGAAAAGUAAAGGAAUAAACAGGGUAAGAAGAAGGUAAAAGAAUAAUGAUCAGCAACAUUAUGCGCUUCAAACUUCACAGUUCAGUCAGCGGAGUCCCUGUUAGUCCACAUGUUAUAAUUUUCGGCUUCUUUUCCUCCCCGAUGCCUGUGUAAAUAAUUCUUUGUAAUAGUUCUGAGAAGUUUAUAGAAAUGUUCAGGCUGGCUUUGCCGGCCGUAGUUCUGAAAAUCAACUCACCCGAACAAAGCCACACCAUGACAUAAGUACAAAACAUGAAUCCGGGAACCCAUCAAAUUAAUAUGUCCAUUUUCCUCGCAUCACUCACAAUGCAUAUCGCUCCGCAUAAUAUACAAAAACUGACAUAUCACCGAACGAACCUAGUUCCUGCAUUAAUCACAGAAACAGCCGAGUGGACGCAUUGCAGGAUUGCAAACGUGCAACAUUUAUUUGUAUCCCUCCCAGUGACCAUGAACUGUAAGUUUUCCACACAAAUCCGCCAGCACGAAAUGCAUCAUAAGAAGCUGCUAGGAUAGCAUACGCCGAUCCCAAUUUUUUUGCACGCUAGCACAUAGCGAGAUAAGAGAAAAUUUAGAGGUGCAAGUGCAACCGAAAGAACACUGUUCUCCGCACCUGGCGAUGAUCUGCUCGCACAUCUUCUGGCCAGCCUUGUUGGUCCCGCCCUUGAUCAACCGCAGCAGGCACGCGAUCUGCCUCAAGUCGCUGCGCCCGCCACAAAAGUAGCCAUCACGGAGUUAAAGCGAGAAGGAAUUAGAAACGGGAGACACCGAAUCGAAGAGGAAAAGCUCGAAAUCAGAUGUGCGGCACCUGACGAAAUCGCCGUCAGAUUCCGAGCCGGAGCUGGAGCCGGAAUCGGAACCGGAGCCGAAAUCCACGGGGUGGCGCGGCCUCUUCGACGACCGCAGAGCCUCUUCACCCAGGGACAUCCUCCUUCCGCCGCCGGGACUCGCCGCGGGCCGCAUCGCUGGUCGACGAGCGUAGUGCAGCGCAAUUCGAAAUUUGGAGGGGGAGCGAGAGGGUAGUGAUGUAAUACUGGCAAAAUUUUGGUGGCCCACUCACAGUAUUGGCUUUUGUAAGGGAAAGUGUUCGUGCGCGCAAGGCUACGAGCAACUAGUUCCUCCUCUUGUAAUUUUUUUUUCCUUCGACGCGUCCGUUGAAGUGUUCGGCCGGUCGCGUUCCUUCCUCACGUUUUUCUUCCACCUUUUCCUUUUCCCCUCCCGCGCACACUCGGAUUUUUUCACUGUUUUAACCUUUUUUCUAAANNNNNNCACAAAAUGAACCAGAUUUGAAACCAUUUCACGAUCUGACCCUUUUAAAAACGCCACAAGCCGUGGCGUUGCUNNNNNNNNNNNNNNNNNNNNNNNNNNNNNNNNNNNNNNNNNNNNNNNNNNNNNNNNNNNNNNNNNNNNNNNNNNNNNNNNNNNNNNNNNNNNNNNNNNNNUGGACAAGAAUACAUGGAGUUACUCAAGCCAUUGAAUCAUUUGACUUUGUUUUCAAUCUUCACUUGAUGCUUGUUAUUCUUGGCUAUACAAAUGAGUUGUCCAAAUCUUUGCAAAAGAGAGAUCAAGAUACUAUUAAUGCAGUGGCACUUGUUAGUUUGGCAAAGAGUAGAAUGCGACACAUGAGGUGUCAUGGUUAGGAAGAAUUUCUUGCAAAGCUAACCCUAUUUUGCCAGAAACAUGACAUUCAAGUUCCUUUGUGGGAGGAUACUUAUGCAGGGGCAGAAUUAGCAUGGGUUCACGUCUAGGGCCAAAUUAGCUUCAGUGGUGUAUUUUAGAGAUUUUUUGUACUUAGUAAGUAGGUAUUACAAAGACUAUUGUCACUACACCUAGGGCUAUAGCCCCAUUUUCCCUAGGCCUGAUUCCAACAUUGUACUUAUGAGCAUCAUGGAAUAUCACGUUGGUAUAAUGAAGUUCAAACAAAUGAUGAUCGUUAUAAAAGAGAAGUAUAUCUUGGUGUCAUUGAUCAAACCAUUCUAUCCCAUGGACAUAUCAAGCACGGAUUUGAUAAGGCUAGAAUUUCAACUUGCUACUUUUAUUGAUGAUACGAGACAAGAUGAUAUUGGUGAGCUCUCUAUUUUACUUGUUGCAACAAAGAAUCAUAUUCUCUAUGAUUUGGUCUACUUACUCAUCAAAUUGAUAUUGAUUUUACCGAUGGCAACAACGAGUGUUGAAAGGGUAUUUUCUGCAAUGAAUCUAGUGAAAAAUAAAUUAAGGACUAGUAUGGGUGAUGAUCGUUUGGUGACAAUUAUUAAGCGAGAUGUGUUCAUGAAAGUAAAUGAAGAUGACAUAGUUGAUGCUUUCAUGACAAUGCAACGACGUAGAGUUACCUAGUGUUGUAAUUUUCUACUUCUGUUACUUUCAUGUAAGUCUUUUCUAUUGUAACUGGGCACAUUUGAAAUACAUUUUAUGUACUAAAUGGUUGUGAGAUUUCAAUUGAGCUAUUUAUGUUACUCAUUUGACAUAUUUUGAUACAUUUGGAUUAGGUAGGAAAAAAAUAGAGUGCGCAUGCCCUUUAUUUUAUUCCUGGGUACCCACACAAUGGAACGCAAAAAUAUCCAGCCGAGCGAGCAGUAAAUCCACCAUACGGGAUGUGCAUACUUAAUACUCCUACAUUGCAACAAAUAAUCGUGAAAAAAAAUGGAAAAAGAAACCAUAUGCGAUCAGGCACAUGACGAAGGAAGGGUCACAUGAAUGAAGAAGAGAGAAAAGCCACAUAUCGACCCGAAUAGCGAAGUGUGGGAGCCGCGAUGGCGGGCACUGGCAGCCAUACAUUGGGCUAUCCAAAAUCUCAUCUCUCGCCCAAUCCCGGCCUCACGAUCUCAAUUCUCACCCCGCGUGCACCACAAGCUCCAAUCCCCUAACUCGUAUAUACAGCCACGCCCGCCUCACCGUCCUUGAUCUUCCCCCCUAUCUGAUCGGAUCCUUUGGACAUGGCGUCGCCCAUGCUCUCCACGGCCAUGGCGCCACUCCAGGUAUUGCUCGUGUUCCAUUUCCAUUCCAUGCUUGCGUAGUAGUACAGUUCUUCCAUGUUUGUGACGCGCGGUGGUUAUGUAACUGGACUGCCAUGCAUCCUCUGUCGAUCCAGGGGGGCAUGCUGGAGUUCUCCGGGCUGAGGAGCUCGUCGUCGCUGCCGCUCCGGCGGAAUGCCACCUCCGACGACUUCAUGUCCGCCGUCUCCUUCAGGACAUACGCGGUAUGAUAUGAAUAUGAUGGGCGGAAUGUGGCUGUCACCUAGGAGUACGUAGCUCGCUUGGUCGCAUGCCAUGAGACAUGAGCGGCGCGUGGUACGGUGGUUGCAGGUGAGCACGAGCGGCGGGUCGCGGAAGGCGCCGACGGAGGCGAAGCUCAAGGUGGCGAUCAACGGGUUCGGGCGCAUCGGGCGCAACUUCCUGCGGUGCUGGCACGGGCGCGGCGACAGCUCGCCGCUGGAGGUGAUCGCCAUCAACGACACCGGAGGCGUGAAGCAGGCGUCCCACCUCCUCAAGUACGACUCCACGCUGGGCAUCUUCGACGCGGACGUCAAGCCCGUGGGCGACAACGCCAUCUCCGUCGACGGCAAGGUGAUCAAGGUCGUGUCCGACCGCAACCCCUCCAACCUGCCGUGGGGCGAGAUGGGCAUCGACCUCGUCAUCGAGGGCACCGGCGUCUUCGUCGACCGCGCCGGCGCGGGCAAGCAUCUCGAGGCCGGAGCCAAGAAGGUGCUCAUCACCGCGCCCGGCAAGGGCGACAUCCCCACCUACGUCUGCGGCGUCAACGCCGACCUCUACACCCACGCCGACACCAUCAUCAGCAACGCCUCAUGCACCACCAACUGCCUCGCCCCCUUCGUCAAGGUCCUCGACCAAAAGUUCGGUACGUGCCCGUCUCCCUCCCUCUCUCUCUCUCUCAACUGAAUCAACUUGUUGACGAUGACUAAUGGCGGCGGUGGCAAUGGCGCAGGCAUCAUCAAGGGAACCAUGACCACAACCCACUCGUACACCGGCGACCAGAGGCUGCUCGACGCGAGCCACCGCGACCUGCGCCGUGCCCGCGCCGCCGCCCUCAACAUAGUGCCGACCUCCACCGGCGCGGCCAAGGCCGUGGCGCUGGUGCUCCCCAACCUCAAGGGCAAGCUCAACGGGAUCGCGCUCCGGGUGCCCACCCCCAACGUGUCCGUCGUCGACCUCGUGGUGCAGGUCUCCAAGAAGACCCUCGCCGAGGAGGUGAACCAGGCGUUCCGCGACGCCGCCGCCAACGAGCUCAAGGGCAUCCUCGACGUCUGCGACGAGCCCCUCGUGUCCGUCGACUUCAGGUGCUCCGACGUCUCCUCCACCAUCGACGCGUCGCUCAGCAUGGUCAUGGGAGACGACAUGGUCAAGGUCAUUGCAUGGUACGACAACGAGUGGGGUUACUCCCAGAGGGUCGUCGACCUCGCCGACAUCGUCGCCAACCAAUGGAAGUGAACGCCCCCCCACAGCGGCAUUGCCCUGUCAAGUGACUCCUCUCGAAAUUUUCCCCAGCCGUCGUCACGGAUGAUCGAUUCUUUGUAAUGAGAAUUCAAAGUAUCGAGCUCCCAACAC
Molecule: long non-coding RNA, 18051 nt
Filed under: Hordeum vulgare
Lineage: Eukaryota; Viridiplantae; Streptophyta; Magnoliopsida; Poales; Poaceae
Description: long non-coding RNA (HVUL_LNC020883)
Source: RNAcentral